Molecule: ribosomal RNA, 557 nt
Filed under: uncultured Sphingomonas sp.
Lineage: Bacteria; Pseudomonadati; Pseudomonadota; Alphaproteobacteria; Sphingomonadales; Sphingomonadaceae
Description: bacterial SSU rRNA
Rfam family: Bacterial small subunit ribosomal RNA
Source: RNAcentral
ACGGGUGCGUAACGCGUGGGAAUCUGCCCUUAGGUUCGGAAUAACAGUUGGAAACGACUGCUAAUACCGGAUGAUGACGCAAGUCCAAAGAUUUAUCGCCUGAGGAUGAGCCCGCGUAGGAUUAGCUAGUUGGUGUGGUAAGAGCGCACCAAGGCGACGAUCCUUAGCUGGUCUGAGAGGAUGAUCAGCCACACUGGGACUGAGACACGGCCCAGACUCCUACGGGAGGCAGCAGUGGGGAAUAUUGGACAAUGGGCGCAAGCCUGAUCCAGCAAUGCCGCGUGAGUGAUGAAGGCCUUAGGGUUGUAAAGCUCUUUUACCCGGGAUGAUAAUGACAGUACCGGGAGAAUAAGCUCCGGCUAACUCCGUGCCAGCAGCCGCGGUAAUACGGAGGGAGCUAGCGUUGUUCGGAAUUACUGGGCGUAAAGCGCACGUAGGCGGCUUUGUAAGUUAGAGGUGAAAGCCUGGAGCUCAACUCCAGAAUUGCCUUUAAGACUGCAUCGCUUGAAUCCAGGAGAGGUGAGUGGAAUUCCGAGUGUAGAGGUGAAAUUCGUAGA